RNAcentral lists this ribosomal RNA (295 nucleotides) under Schmidingerella taraikaensis. RNAcentral describes it as "partial Bacterial large subunit ribosomal RNA". It matches the Rfam family "Bacterial large subunit ribosomal RNA", at positions 774 to 1067 of the family's 2925-position model. The record is from RNAcentral. Lineage: Eukaryota; Ciliophora; Spirotrichea; Tintinnida; Rhabdonellidae.
CCGAACCCACGUCUGUUGAAAAAGACGGGGAUGACGUGUGGCUAGGGGUGAAAGGCCAAUCAAACUGGGAAAUAGCUCGUACUCCCCGAAAUGCAUUUAGGUGCAGCGUUCAGGUAGAGUAUUAUAGAGGUAGAGCUACUGAUAGGGCUAGGGGGCUUCACCGCCUACCAAACCCUGACAAACUCCGAAUGCUAUAAUAUAUACUGAGCAGUGAGGGCAUGGGUGCUAAGGUCCAUGUCCGAGAGGGAAAGAACCCAGACCAUCAGCUAAGGUCCCAAAAUAUAUACUAAGUUGA